GGGAAUACAGAAUGAUAACCUUUGGGACAAAAGUGAAUGAGGCCAGGUAGUUCUUCAAGUGAUAACCAUUUUAAUUUAUCAAAUUUCAUCUCCUCUUUAGCUACCACUUCCACUUUUUCUUCUAAUUCGAAUACUUGUUCCAAUUUAGAAUUUCUUUCUACUAUGAGCCUUUCAAGCUUUGGAAGAACAGGAGCAAAUCCAAAAGGAAAGAGACUGCUCAAAUUUUUACAAUCUAUAACAACGAUCUCAGUCAAAUUUGGAAAGCUCAUAGGUUGAAGGCUGGUAUCACCAUUUGAUGAUGAUGAAGAAACUUGAUCCUUGGCUAAAAUGAGUCGUUCUAUUUCCUCACACCCCUCGAUGAAAAGACCCUUCAAAUGUGAUAAACUGCGAGCCAUCAUAAGUGAAAAUAUAUAUCUUAGCUUCUUGCAAUCUCUCAGUGUUAGAGUUGUAAGGUUCUCAAGGGUUACAACUUGAGCAAAAUCGUUCCAUAUAAUCUGCACUUCAAAUAAAUUCCUCAAUUCCAAUAUUUUUAUGCUUGAGAACGAGUACCCGCCUUGAACUUGAAAUACUUCUUCAUGAUUCCCAACUACUAUACAACCUUCAUUCAAUACAGGAACAUCAGUGUUGCAUAAUUGGCGGCUAUUUCCCACGUUACUAAGAGUCAAUCCCUGCAUACACAGAAAUCCUAAUAAAUGUCAUAAAAACACACUAGAGUAAAUGUUACCCAUAAGUCUUCAUAAUUUUACAUAUUCCAAGUAAUAGAAAAUACUACUCUAAUCUCAAUGCUACCUGUAUCUUUGAUUUUUUUAAAGGAUAUAUUUUUUAAAUCUAAACCCCUAAAAUAUCUACCAAAUUAAUUAAACACAAAAGGCCAUUGCUUGAUAUUUACAAACAAUGUAUAAAAGAGGUAUGAAUUAUCACAUGAACUAAGCAACAUAUCGAUUUUUUGAUUUGCUAUAGUGCCAAAAUCCAUAUAUAAAAUGCGAACAAUCUAAAUACCUCUAUGAGUUGAGCUUGUACAAUGAAGCAUGAGAAUUGGGGACAAUUUGACACUUCUAAAUCUUGCAGAAAGGGCACAUUAAGUAGAAUGUGAUCACCAAUCACAUCCCUUUCUUCCUUCGAACUGAAGAAUUGUAGUAGUUGAGGGCAGUUCCCUAGGUAGACAGAUUCCAACAAUGGAAAUCCCUGAGAUAAAGUGUUUGCAAAGACAUAUUUCAAUCGUUGGCAAUCCACUAUCCAGAGAGUUUUCAAUUUUGUCCAGCAAUGAUUCUACAUGAAUGAACCACAUAUUUAGAUAUUAUGCAAAAUAUAUGUGUUUAAAUAAAAGUGAGGAAUAUGAUUUAUUAAACAUAAUUUAAGUUUUAAAGAAUUUCUUUAUCAAAACAUAUGAAUAAGAAAUAAAUUGAUCUUCUAACGUAUCAGUUAUAAAGAAAUGUAUUUAUCAUAUUUCGCAACUGUGAUACUCCAACCACUUUAAAAUAAUUAAUUAUGACUAUUAAAAAAUAAAAAUACAAUAUUCAUGGUAAUAGCCGAUGAGAGAGACAGAAUUCUAAUUGCUGAUUCAAUUUUAAAAUAAAUGAAUUAUAAAUAACUUUUAAAAUAAGGUUGAAAUAUUAAUUAUUUUAUGAACAUAAAAAUGAAUUUGAGUCCAAAUACCUGUAAUCCAAAUCCAUCCUUAUUUUUUUCCAUGUUGAAGAUUUGUAUAAGUCGAGGACAAUCUUCUAUCUCAAUAGAUUCCAGGUAGGGAAGUCCUUGACUUGAACACAAAUAUUUCAAGUUUUCACAUCCUCCAAUGUUGACAUCUUUCAAUUUUGGCAAGAACAGAGGAGACUGAUCUUUUAUGUUUGAAACAUCUAUUUCAUCCAUGUUUUCUGAUUCUCUGAUUAAAUGAUCUAAAGAGUUGCAAUUCCGAAUCUCGAGAUAUUGCAAAUGCACCAAAGUUCGAGCAGUGAAUUCCGAAAAGAGAUAUGUGAAUUCAUCACAUUCAGUUAUCUUUACACUAUGGAGGUUAGGGUAAUGGUACUUCAAUUCUGGCAAUGGUUUUAACUCCGAAAGAGUUAAAUUUGUCAGAGGUUCCUGUCAUCCAAUAAUAUUUGUUAGUUUAAUCUAACCACUAAAAUAAAUUGAUUGUACAAUGAUAUACACACUAAUUUUAAUAUCUCACAUAUAUUAUCAAAGCAAAACAAAAAUUAUAAUAAGGUAAAUUAAUUCAAUAAAUUUCUAAAAUAUAAUUAAAAUAAUAAUUAUUAUAUUACAUUAAAAUAAAAUAUAAAAAACAUAUUAAAGCGUAACAUCAUGAGAAAAUAAAUAUAUAAUAUUUCUCUAUUUUAAUUUUUAGUAUACAAAUAAUAAAGAGCGUGGCUCUUGAACAAAAGCUAGAGGCUGCAUCGGUUUGUUUGAAUACUUAGAAUUUCAAAAAUCAAUAAAUUACAAUUAUAAAAAGUAAUAAUAUGUAAACAUAUAUAUAUAUAUAUGUAACAUUCAUUAAAAAUACUCUAUGAAUUUUAAAAUAUUUAUCAUUAAAAGUCAUUCAAUGAGUUGUCAAUAUAAUAAAUAUGGAGAUCAUCUCUAUAUUGAUUUGGUGCUCUAGGGAGUAGGCACUCCCUCGAACACCAAAAUGCUAGUUUCAUAUUUUUUAAUAAUAUCAAACCGACCUUGUAAGUUAGCAAUCCAAGGAUAGAAGAAAGGUGUGGCAUGAAAUUAAUUGAAGGCUUUUCUAUAAAGAAAUAAAAUCUAAAUAAAAAGGAGAGACACAACAAUUCAUGAUGCAGUUUAUAAGCCUAUAAAUAGGUUUAAUAUAUUUGUGAUAUGUAUAAGCGAGCGUGUGGAUGAGAAGAAAAAGGAAAAGUGUAAUGUGACUCUGUGUGCAUGAAAGUGGAAAUAAGCAAAGAGUGAAUGGUGUGUAUAACUAGUUGUAGGUAGUAAUUGAAAGGAAGAGGAAAAUAUAUUUGUAUUUUGCAUUGGUGUAUUUGUUUUGAGUAAUAAAAGCUACUUUCUUUAGUGGUCACUACGCUUCCAACAAACCCGAUACACAUAAAUAAUAUAAAAAAAAAUACCAAACCAAGCACUUCACUACAAAUUGGUUUUUGAUUUUCUUGCAAUUUGUUUCAUCCUUAAAAGAAUGCUAUCAUAAAGCUAAAACAAUUAAGAGAUUAAAAAAAUUGGAGAGAAUAGGUAUCCCUACCUCAAUAAUCUCGUCUUCUUGGCCAAAACCAAUGACUUGCUCCAGUCGAUCGCAGUGCCUUACAUAAAGUUCUUGUAGAUGCAACAUACUUAAAGCUAGGCAAGGUGAGAAGAUUGUUUUCAGAUUAUCACAAUAUUUAAUUCUCACAACCUUUAGACUUUGGAGGCUUGCAAUUGCACGAUGUGAUGGCUUUACUUCCCAUAUCCUCUUCAAUUUCGGCAAUGAAUGUAGGCUCAAUUCUGUUAAAUUUGAAAGUUUAUCUAUUUGAAAUAUCACUUGUAACUCCUUACAAUCUCUAAUGAUCACUCGCUUAAGGUUUUGCAAGAACCUAGUCGGAGAAACACCAUAGCACAACCCUUUCAAAGAAACCAUGCUUUCUAUAUUUAAUUCCACCAAAGUAGAGAAUGCAACAGUUGACCCUUGAUCAUUUUUUGUAUCAAUCAAGAAUUCCAGAUCAUUGCAAGAUUCUAGAUGCAGAGAAGUCAACUCAUUUACUCCCAUUUCAUCUAUGCUUGGCACAAUAUUCUUUUGUCCACCAACAUUCCUCAAAUUCAACUCUUCCACAUUGCAAAAUAAAUUGUUAAAUGCACUUAAUGAAGAUGAGAAAUCUUGAAUAUCCAAUGUUCUAAUAAACGCCUCCCGAUUAAUACCAUAAUUUUCUCCAACUACUAUAGCGUACCUUUGUAGUUUGGGGAGCACAAAAUCUUCUAGAGGAAUUUGAUUAGUAGAAAGUCUCAGUGAUAGUGCAGUUAAACGAGACAAUGACUUCAACUCCAAUAAGUUGAGAUUAUUUUUGGGUAUGACAUGUAACUCUUGUAGUGAAGUCAACCUAUUAUAUUCAUAAAGAAAGUAGCAUUAAUUGAAAAUUUAUGUGACACAAUCCACAUUCCAUGAGGUAAAAAAAUUGUAAUUCGUUAAAGUAAUUCAUUAAAAAAAUAUGUGUAAAAAAAAGGUCAAAAACUUGAUAUAAAUCAAGAUAAGUAAUAAAAGGACGCUAUUAAAAUUAAAUAAAAGAAUCUCUAAAUUUUUUUAUCACUUUCAAAGAAAUUUUCAAGAGGUUAACUUUUUUUCUUCUUUUUAACAAAUCUCAAAAUUUCUGGGUCUAAAACAUAAGUAAAUUUUCUGUUUUUUUAUAAUAAUUUUUUUCACUCUCAAAUUUUAUAAGAAAGCCAUUUUACCCUUCUAUUUAAAUUUUCACAUUUUAUAACCCUUAAAUUUGUGGGUUUUUUUUUGUCAAAUCAUCUCAAAAUGAAUAGAAAAGUUAAUGCUUUAAAAUUUUGCUGAUGUUGAUAUGCGUGGAUUGACACAUGAAUAACACAUUAUCCAUAAUAUAUAUAUUAAAACAUAUCUAAUAGUAAAAAAAUCAAGUAUUUAUCUUGAUGUUUUAUUAAAAUUUAAAGUCUUUAUUGUAUUAAACUUCCUUAAUUAAUUUUUGUUGAAUAUUAUAUAUAUAUUAUAUUUACUUUAAUAUAUAUAUAACACUUAAUUAUAGUUAAUAAAUUUUUUUAUUUUCUUUGGCAACCCACAUAUCUAUCCACAUAUACUUCAGAAAUUACAUUAUUUGUCUUAUAUGUCAAGUCAACAAAUAAUUAAAUCUAACGCACUCUUACCUUGAUACCAAGCCAGGGGGGAAAUUGAUUCCUUCGUCCGUUCGAGAAUCAUAAAAAUAUUCAGGUAUGAUGUGCCUAAAAAUGAUAAAAUUUUGAUUUAAUUAUUUAAAAAUUAUAAAGAUAUAGGCUAUUCAAAUGGUAAAAUUACAUUUUUACUAUCGUAAAAAUUAAAAUUUAAUUUCGGCUCCCUCUAACAAAAUUUUUUGUCUUCGCCCCUGCGCACGUGUCAAUCCAUCUGUACUUCAUGUAGAUAUUACACUAUUUGUCUUAUAUGUCAAGUCAAAUAAUUUAAAAUUUAUAAAAAUAUGCAAAAAAGAUAAAAAAAUUGAAAUUCAAAAAAUAUAAAAAAAUUAUAAAACUAAAAAAUAUAUAUAGCAUGAAGUAAAUAUGUAUUGUCAUGCUGAAUUUCAUGUUUAAAAACUUAACAUUUUAGUUAGUAUUUCCAUUAAAAAAUAAUUCAACAUUUUUUUAAAAUGUUGAUGCUCAAAUUCGAUUUUUUUAAAGGUUCAGAACUAAAUUUAACUAAAAAAUCAAAAAAAGGACUAAAUUGAUAAAUAAUACAAAUGUUAAGAACUAAAUUUUAAAUUGUUUUAAUACUUAUUGCCUUGACUAUUUGACAUAUUUACUGUGAUAUCUUCACGUGCAAGGAACAUGAAUUCUAAAAUAAAUAAAUAAAAUACCUAUUAAAAUAAUUAAUAGGAAAAUAAAUGAUGUCAAACAAAAUACGAAUAUGAUAAAAAGAAAAUUAAAUCUGAUGCACUCUUACCUUGAUACCAUGUUUGGUAAUUCUUCAGCGAUUUCAACUACACCAGAAAGACGUAAAUAUUUCAGUGCAGACAACUUCACUAAUUCUUCACUUAUCUCAUCAAUUUCAGUGCCAGUCAAUGAAAGAAUUGUUAACAUUAAUGGGAGACAACAUUAAUGGCAAACAAUACAAAGUGGUGCAAGUUUAGCACCCUAAAGUUGACUUUGAAAAAGUGGCAUGGGAUAAUUUUUUUUUGGUCCUUGAGAUAAUGGGCUAUUUAUUGUUUGGUCCUUGAACCUCAACUAUAAAUAGGCCUUCUCAUUUCUCAUUUCAAUCAUCCCAACCAAUCUUUCUCUCUUAAUUUUCUCUCUUCUCCCAUUUGAGAAUUCUUAAGGAAUUCUAUUUGUUUGUAAUAUUUUGGAGAUAGUAAAGUUAUCAUCUGGUGUUAGUGCCCGAGGACGUAGGUAUAAUUUACCGAACCUCGUUAAAACUCUUGUGUUCUUUCUUGUCCUAUUUUUCUUUCAAUAUUUGAGGGUAUAAUAGUAGUAUUUAAUUGUUCUAUUAAAUUACUAUAGAAGGGAUAUUCUGUCUAAGGAAAGACUUGGUAUUUAAGAGAUCCAUGUGAUCCACCUCUCUUUCCUGGGAAUUGAACUUUGUGUGAUUUUUUAGUACAAUAAUUUACACGCUUCCGACCCUAUUGGAACAACAAGUGGUAUCAAGAGUCGAAGGUUAAUCGUAGUAUGCUCUGUGGUUGCAGUUUAAACUGAUCUUCCACAUCAGAAAAGAUUUCCUUAGGUAUAUUGAAAGAUUAUGGAGAAAACGGUCGGUGUAGGAGCUUCAACAUCGUCCAUGUGGACAAGACCGACAAUUGCAAAUGCAAGAUUGGCCGUGGAGAUCUUUGAUGGCACGGGCCAUUUUGGUAUGUGGCAAAGUGAGGUUCUAGAUGCCCUUUUUCAGCAGGGUCUAGACAUUGCCAUUGAUGAAGAGAAACCAGAUGAUGUACAGGAGAAAGAUUGGAAGGCGAUCAACCGGUUGGCAUGUGGCACAAUUCGAUCAUGCCUUUCUCGAGAGCAGAGGUAUGCUUUUUCAAAGGAGACUUCUGCAAAUAAGUUGUGGGUGGCACUUGAAGAAAAUUUUUUGAAGAAAAACAGUCAAAAUAAGCUCCACUUGAAGAAAAGACUGUUUCGCUUCACAUACGUCCCAAGUACCACAAUGAAUGAUCACAUCACCAAAUUUAAUCAGUUAGUCACUGAUUUGCUGAAUAUGGAUGAGACAUUCAAAGAUGAAGAUUUGGCUUUGAUGCUGUUGGGGUCACUUCCUGAGGAGUUUGAGUUCCUAGAAACUACUUUACUUCAUGGCAGGAGUGAUAUAUCUCUGAGCGAAGUCUGUGCAGCCUUAUACAGUUAUGAACAGAGAAAGAAGGACAAACAGAAAAACUCAAUCAGAGAUACAGAAGCUUUAGUAGUCCGAGGUCGUUCAUACACUCGGAAGAAAACUCAAAAGGGGAGAUCAAAGUCAAAGUCCAGACUCGGGAAAGAUGAAUGUGCUUUUUGUCAUGAGAAAGGCCACUGGAAGAAAAAUUGUCCAAAGAUGAAGAAUAAGGGAAAAGCUGCUGUAGAUGCUUGUGUUGCUAAGCAUGAUACUAGUGACUCUGAACUAUCACUGGUUGCAUCAUCAUCGUCGUUCCAUUCAGAUGAGUGGAUAUUGGAUUCGGGUUGUACCUAUCAUAUGUCCCCUAACCGGGAGUGGUUCUCUGAUUUAGUAGAACUAAACGGAGGAGUUAUUUAUAUGGGCAAUGACAAUGCCUGUAAAACUGUUGGGAUAGGUUCAAUCCAAUUAAAGAAUAAAGAUGGAUCAACCAGAGUUCUGACUGAUGUUCGGUACGUGCCCAGUUUGAAGAAAAAUCUCAUCUCAUUGGGAGCCUUGGAAUCCAAUGGUUCAGUUGUUACUAUGAGAGAUGGGGUUUUGAAAGUGACAUCUGGCGCACUUGUGAUAUUGAAGGGCAUCAGGAAAAAUAACUUGUAUUACUACCAAGGUAGUACAGUUAUUGGAGCAGUCGCUGCAGCUUCCGGUAACAAAGACUUGGACUCAAUGCAGUUGUGGCAUAUGAAGUUGGGACAUGCCAGCGAAAAAUCCUUGCAAAUUCUGGCAAAGCAAGGAUUGUUGAAAGGUGCAAAGGCUUGCAAAUUAAAAUUUUGUGAGCACUGUGUUCUGGGAAAGCAAAAGAGAGUGAAAUUCGGCACUGCUAUCCAUAAUACAAAAGGUAUUUUGGAAUAUAUUCACUCAGAUGUGUGGGGGCCUUCCAAAACACCUUCGUUGGGAGGAAAACACUACUUUGUUACUUUUGUUGAUGACCUUUCCAGAAGAGCUUGGGUGUAUACCAUGAAAACUAAAGAUGAAGUGCUUGGAGUUUUUCUUAAAUGGAAAACUAUGAUCGAAAACCAGACUGGCAAGAAAAUCAAGCGGCUUAGGACGGACAAUGGAGGGGAAUAUAAAAGUGAUCCGUUCUUCGAUGUGUGCCAAGAGUAUGGUAUUGUUCGACACUUCACAGUUAGGGAUACACCACAAUAGAAUGGAGUGGCAGAGCGUAUGAAUCGAGCAUUGCUGGAGAAAGUUCGAUGUAUGUUGUCCAAUGCUGGGUUGGGCAAGCAAUUUUGGGCUGAGGCUGUGACAUACGCUGGCCAUCUUGUUAAUCGUUUGCCAUCAUCUGCAUUAGAAAGAAAAACUCCUAUGGAGGUAUGGUCUGGAAAACCGGCUACAGAUUAUGAUUCCUUACAUGUGUUUGGAACCACUGCAUAUUACCAUGUGAAGGAGUCAAAGUUAGAUCCGAGGGCAAAAAAAGCUCUCUUUAUGGGAAUCACUUCUGGAGUGAAGGGAUUUCGUCUUUGGUGCUUAAGCACAAAGAAAAUGAUCUGUAGCAGAGAUGUUACCUUUGAUGAAUCUGCCACAUUAAAAAAGGUAGCAGAUAAAGAUAUUCAGACGAGCAAUACUCCACAGCAGGUAGAGUGUACUCCAAAACAGGUGGAGUUUGAGCAGAUGGGGAUUUGCCCAGUUAAUAAGUCUAAUUCUCCAGCCACAAUGGAGGAAUUAGAGGUUGAAGAGGUUCUGACCCAAGAACCACUAAGUACACCAGAACCAGUUACAGUUGCAAGGCCACGGAGAGAAAUUCGUAAACCUGCUCGAUUUACUGAUAUGGUGGCCUACGCCCUUCCCGUUGUUGAUGAUAUUCCUAUCACUUAUCAAGAAGCAAUGCAAAGCUUAGAAAGUGAUAAAUGGAAAAGUGCCAUGGAUGAAGAAAUGCAGUCUCUCCGGAAGAACAAUACUUGGGAGUUGGCGCAAUUACCGAAAGGUAAAAGGGCAAUCGGAUGCAAGUGGGUAUUCGCAAAGAAAGAUGGAUCUCCUAGCAAGAAGGAUAUUUGCUACAAGGCAAGAUUGGUAGCUAAAGGCUACGCUCAGAAGGAGGGAAUUGACUACAAUGAUGUAUUUUCCCCUGUUGUGAAGCAUUCCUCCAUUAGAAUUUUGUUGGCCUUGGUAGCACAGUUGAAUUUGGAGCUAGCUCAACUUGAUGUUAAGACAGCUUUCUUGCAUGGUGAGUUAGAAGAGGAGAUCUAUAUGACUCAGCCCGAAGGAUACACAGAUGCUGGUGGUAGAAAUUGGGUUUGUAAGCUGAACAAAUCGCUAUAUGGAUUGAAGCAAUCCCCGAGGCAGUGGUACAAGCGAUUUGAUAGCUUUAUGAGAAGGCAGAAGUACACAAGAAGCAAAUAUGACAAUUGUGUGUAUUUGCAGAAGCUGCAUGAUGGAUCUUUCAUUUAUCUACUCUUGUAUGUUGAUGAUAUGUUAAUCGCUUCGAAGAGCCAAAAUGAGAUAGAUAAGCUGAAGGCUCAGUUGAAUCAAGAGUUCGAGAUGAAAGAUCUAGGUGAGGCCAAGAAGAUUCUCGGCAUGGAGAUAAGUAGAGAUAGACCGAGAGGCAAGCUCUGUUUGAAUCAGAAGCAAUAUCUGAAAAAGGUAUUACAAUGUUUUGGUGUAAAUGAAAACACAAAACAUGUAAGUACCCCACUUGCUUCUCAUUUGAAACUUAGUGCUCAAUUAUCUCCGAAGACUGAAGAUGAAAGAGAAUAUAUGGCGAAAGUCCCAUAUGCUAAUGCAGUUGGGAGUUUGAUGUAUGCGAUGGUGUGUACGAGGCCUGACAUUUCACAAGCUGUUGGAGUUGUGAGCAGGUAUAUGCAUGAUCCUGGAAAAGGACAUUGGCAAGCUGUGAAAUGGAUUCUACGGUAUCUUCGAAAAACUGUAGAUGUUGGUUUAAUUUUUGAACAGGAUGAAGCAGUUGGUUAGUUUGUAGUUGGAUAUGUUGAUUCCGACUUUGCUGGUGAUUUAGAUAAACGUCGUUCAACUACGGGGUAUCUGUUUACUCUUGCGAAAGCCCCAGUAAGUUGGAAGUCUACCUUACAGUCUACAGUAGCUGUGUCUACUACAGAGGCAGAAUAUAUGGCAGUUACAGAAGCUGUUAAGGAGGCUAUUUGGCUUAAUGGAUUGUUGAAAGACUUAGGAGUUGUUCAAAGUCACAUAAGUUUAUAUUGUGACAGUCAGAGCGCUAUUCAUUUAGCGAAAAAUCAAGUCUAUCAUUCAAGAACCAAGCAUAUCGACGUAAGAUAUCACUUUGUGCGGGAAGUCUUUGAAAAAGGAAAAAUUCUACUUCAGAAGAUUCCGACAGCAGAUAAUCCCGCAGAUAUGAUGACCAAGGUGGUAACAACAAUCAAGUUUAAUCAUUGUUUGAACUUGAUUAACAUCCUGAGAAUUUGAGCACCUUCAGGUGUAUGGUGCUCGAGAGUGCAUUUGUAGGCACUACAAAAGAUAGCUUUAUCGAAUUUGGGGAGUUGAAGGAAGUGUGUGAAGAUGUGAUUAUCCUAAUCAAAUCUUCAAGGUGGAGAUUGUUAACAUUAAUGGGAGACAACAUUAAUGGCAAACAAUACAAAGUGGUGCAAGUUUAGCACCCUAAAGUUGACUUUGAAAAAGUGGCAUGGGAUAAUUUUUUUUUGGUCCUUGAGAUAAUGGGCUAUUUAUUGUUUGGUCCUUGAACCUCAACUAUAAAUAGGCCUUCUCAUUUCUCAUUUCAAUCAUCCCAACCAAUCUUUCUCUCUUAAUUUUCUCUCUUCUCCCAUUUGAGAAUUCUUAAGGAAUUCUAUUUGUUUGUAAUAUUUUGGAGAUAGUAAAGUUAUCAUCUGGUGUUAGUGCCCGAAGACGUAGGUAUAAUUUACCGAACCUCGUUAAAACUCUUGUGUUCUUUCUUGUCCUAUUUUUCUUUCAAUAUUUGAGGGUAUAAUAGUAGUAUUUAAUUGUGCUAUUAAAUUACUAUAGAAGGGAUAUUCUGUCUAAGGAAAGACUUGGUAUUUAAGAGAUCCAUGUGAUCCACCUCUCUUUCCUGGGAAUUGAACUUUGUGUGAUUUUUUAGUACAAUAAUUUACACGCUUCCGACCCUAUUGGAACAACGACCAAACAAUAAAUAGCCCAUUAUCUCAAGGACCAAAAAAAAAUUAUCCCAUGCCACUUUUUCAAAGUCAACUUUAGGGUGCUAAACUUGCACCACUUUGUAUUGUUUGCCAUUAAUGUUGUCUCCCAUUAAUGUUAACAAGAAUCUCAAGGCUUCUCAUAUUUGUCAGUGAUGAUGAGAAGUUUUUCAGCAUGCAAUCAUGACACCACAAAGUUUUAAGAUUUGGUAAGGAAGGGAAUCCUUUCAGUGAGAAGCUGACACGUUGGAGAAGUAAAACUUGGAGGGCUUUCAUUUCUUCAAAAAAUGUACCGAAAACCACUAGGAAAUCAUCUCGCUUACUCUUCCUCUCACCCUCUAAAAACAAAGUUUUGAGCUUUGGAAAUUCCACUUUAUCAGGAAUUUUUUUUAUGAUACUACUACAAUUCCAUAAAGCGAUUGUAGUAUAACUUUCAUCCAUAUGAGGCCAUUCUUACAACGUAUCUUUUACCAUGAACCUAUUUUCUCCCGUUGAUGUUAGCCAAUGAGCAAAAUCUCGAAUCACAUCAUGGAUUCUAAUCGUAUCUGCACCAUCAGUUUCCAAUAACAAGCCAGAUUUUUGGAGUUUUUUUAGUGCUUCAACAAUUUUCUUCCUUUUUUCUUCAAUCGAGUAAAAAUAAGGGAACAAUCCUACUCCAAUUCCGCACAUAAUCAAUAUCUCAGUAAGGAUUUCAUCAUCUUCAGGAAAAAGGGAACACAGUAAGAAACACAUUUGGAUGUGAUUUCCUGUCAUUUGGUUAAUGCCUUUCUUCAAGUAAUCGUAGCUAAGCUUAAGAGGCUCAAGGACACCUCCGAGGACUUCUUCAUCAUACAAAUGCGUUGAGUCCUUGAAUCUCUGGUUUGCGUCUCUCCACCCAUUUAAACUCUCACCUUUUAAACCUUUGGCCACGACAACAAUUGCAAGAGGCAAUCCCUUACAUUGAGCAGCAACCUCUUUGGCUACAUCAUUCAAGGUGGAACAAUCAUCUUCUAAACCAGCUUUAUCUCGAAAUAAAACCCAUGCUUCGUCUUCGGAUAAGAUGCCAAGUUAGAAGUCUCUAUAAGUUUAGAGAUAAUAGGAAUCUUCUCUGCCAGUUUCUUACUUAAGGAAUAUCGCCAGCCCCAUUUAGGACACCAUUUGACACACUUGACGCGAUCUAUUUCAUCUUUCAAGUUCUGGGUUUCUUCUAGUUCUUGCUCAGUGUUAGUGAUAGUAUCUAUUAGAGAGGCAGUUAAGGUUAGCUGAGUUGUUAGCUAAGUAGUUAAGCAAGGAAGUUAUUUUCUUCCUAUAAAUAUAGUCAUUUGGCUUUGUAUUGAACUAAGUAAAUAGAAAGAAUUAACUUCAAAAUAGAUUUGUUCUACAUUCUUCUCUAUUUUACCUAGUUUCUUUCAUGGUAUCAGUCGCUAGGCGUUCUUAGUAAUGGCCACGACAAAUUCUGCUGCCUCUGACUCCGUUGAAUUGAAUGGCUCAGUCUUCACUGCUGAUCGAGUGGUGAACUUGUUUCCUCGGCAUGAGGUCGUGAAGCUUGAUGAAGGGACGUUUCUUCAGUGGAAGCAACAGGUUCGAUUUAUUAUUAAUGGAUAUGAUUUGUUUCACUUUUUGGAUGGAUCUGUGUCUGCGCCGCCGAGAUUUGUACAAGCAUUGGACGUUGCUCUUGUACUUAAUCCGGCGGCAUCUGUAUUUACACAACAGGACAAUCUUAUUACUUCGUGGCUUCUUUCUACGAUAAGCUCGACCAUUAUAUCCUCUUUUAUGGAUGUGCAAUCGGCAUCCGAGGUGUGGACUACGGCGUUGGUGAUGUUUGCCGCCGAUAUGGAUCUACGGCAAGAAAGGCUGCGUCAUGAACUUCACUCCCUCAAGAAAGGGAGUUUGUCGAUCCGGCAGUAUGUUGCCAAGCUCAAGAGUCUGUGUGCACAUUUAGAAGCGUCUGGAACAUCUGUAUCUGUGGCAGAGCGGACGGCGGUCAUGCUUGCAGGUCUUCCGUCUGAGUUUGAAGGCAUGGUGUCCUCUGCUUCGUUGUCACCGACUCCCCUACCGUUUCAGCAUCUGGUGGACGCUCUAAUUGAGUGUGAAACUCGUCAUGUUCCGCCGGAUCAGGAAGUUUUGUACAAUGCAAAUAUGGUAGAAGAAUCAUCAUUGCCGGCCUCGGAUGGUUCUGUGCGUGGGGGUUGUUCGAGUGUGCGUGGCCGUGGUAGGAACUUUCAGCCGCGUCUCCAAUGUCAGAUCUGCUCCCGAUUUGGUCAUGUGGCCCAGCGCUGCUACUAUCGGUACCACCGUGAUGAGGCUUCUCCAGUUCAGUUUUCGAUGCAAAAUUUUGGUGCGUCUGGGGAUCGUGGCUGGUCUUCCUCGCCGAAUACACGGCCUAGAGUUUCAAACUUCGGUCAACCUGGUGGCCCUAGUCAGAAUAAUAUGGCGUCUGGUCAAAAUUACUAUGGUUAUGGUCAAAAUAGUUUUGAAAUUGGUCAAAAUUAUUGUGCUGAUGGAUUUAAUCAAUUUAGUGCACCUUAUGCAGGACAGAUGGGUGGUGGGACCAGGCCAAAUAUUGAAAGUCGUGAGUAUAGGCCACAAUCUUUUGGCCCGAAUGGUGGUUGGCUUAGGCCUAUUGUUGAAAAUCAUGAGUAUAGGCCAUAUACUCUUGGCCCGAAUGGUGGAGAAACUCAUGGUGCAGUUAUUGGAAAUUUUGGGCCGCGUGAUGGGGUUCGUCCGAAUGGUAAUAUUGGGAUAAAUGACACGUUAUUGGAUGCUAACCCUGUUUCGAAUAAUGUGCAGCUUGGUUUGUCUAAACAGGUUGAUAGUUUUGGUGUUCCAUAGCGGACUAAACCACGAGCUCGUGUUUUCUCCGCGUCGAAUCCGUGUUUUGGACUUCCUAGAUUGGGAGAUCUCCAUGCUUCUGAUAAUUCUGAUCCCUCUAUCUCAGGUUCGCAUAUUAACUCUGCACAGUGUGGGGUUCAUGGGGAUGGUUCUGACUCCCCGAUUCCUGGACAAGCUGGCACAACAUCAUGGUAUCCUGAUUCGGGUGCCAGUAAUCAUGUGUGUCAAGAUGAUUCGGCACUUCGUGAUGCUGUUCCAUAUUCAGGUACGUCGUCUCUUUUAAUGGGUGAUGGUACACCUGCUAUGAUAUCCUCUGUUGGUCAAGGUGUUUUGUCUACACAAUCUAGAGUACUUCGGUUGUCCAAUGUUUUGUGUGUUCCGGCUAUUAGGAAAAAUUUAUUGUCCGUAUCACAGUUUGCAACUGAUAAUGAUGUUUUCUUUGAGUUUCACCCCACUUAUUGUGUGAUAAAGGACAACGUGACACGGAAGAUUUUGCUGACGGGCCAUAUACAUAAUGGGCUAUAUCAGUUUUCCAUAACAGAUGCGUCUGUUCCUGUUACGUUUCAUUCGUCUACUGCUCAGGUUGAAAUUCCAACUAAGACUGCUGACAGUGAGUUGUGUUCGUUGUGACAUAAACAUCUUGGUCAUCCAUCGUUGAAUGUUGUUAAGAAUGUUCUUGAUCAAUGUCAAUUCAAAUUCAAUAAAAUUGCUAUGAAUAAAGGUGCUAUGAGUGAUAUUUGUACUGCUUGUAAAAAGGGAAAGUUUCAUAAAUUGCCAUUUUUGGAUUCUAUUACUGAAUAUGCUGAUCUAUUUUCGUUGGUUGUUUCGGAUGUAUGGGGACCUGCUUCAGUUACUUCUGGUUCACAUUGGUAUUAUGUCUCGUUUGUUGAUAUGUGUUCUAGGUUCACUUGGGUAUAUUUAAUACGGCAGAAGUCUCAAGCGGUGACUUGCUUCAUUCAGUUUCAGAAACUAGUUCAGAAUCAAUUUGGCAAGACCAUCAAACAAUUUCAGAGCGACUGGGGUGGGGAAUAUCGAGCGUUUGCUUCAGUUUUGGCGUAUCACGGUAUCAUUCAUCGAGUCACCUGUCCUCAUACGUCUGAACAAAAUGGAGUUACGGAGCGUAAGCAUCGACACAUUGUGGAAAUGGGGCUCAAUCUCUUAGCUCAGGCGGGACUUUCAAUGGAAUUCUGGUCAUAUGUGUUUGCUUGUACAGUUCAUUUAAUAAAUCGUCUUCCCACACCAGUGCUGGAUGGUAAGACCCCGUAUAGAGUCUUGUAUGGGCGCGACCCUACUUAUGAUCAUUUACGUAUUUUUGGAUACUGUUGCUACCCGUAUUUGCGCCCAUUUCAGCGUCACAGGUUGGAUUUUCGAUCUCAACCGUGCACAUUUUUGGGGUAUAGUUCGUGUCACAAGGGUUACCAAUGCCUUUUACCUGAUAGUUGAAUCAUUGUCUCUCGUCAUGUUGAGUUUGAUGAGGCACGUUUUCUCUCUCUGACGACUCUACGGUCUGCUAGGAAGGUGAGUACGGUUUCUACCUGUUUUCCUGUGCUCAAGAAUAAUUUGUCUUGUCGUCAAAACUCCAGUACUAGUUCUGUGUGCCCAUGUCCAAGUAUUUUGAAUGAGCAUUUGAUUCCUCAGAAUGGUGAAGAUAUGGUUCCAACAAAUGCUAAUUCUCCUAAUGAACCGUCUUUGAAUGGGGUUUUGAUUCCUCAGAGUAGCGUAGAUGUGGAUCCAACAAAUACUAAUUCUCCUAGUAAUUCCUGUCAUAGUAGUUCAUCAUAUUCUGGUGAUCAGUCUCCCACACCAGUUGUUCCAAUUCCAUCUGUUCCUACAGGACCAGAGAUUUCUAUACCUGAUGUGAAUGUUCAUCCCAUGACUACUAGGUCAAAGGCUGGUAUUUUUAAACCUAGAGUGCUUGCUGUUGAAGUUGUAGAACCGGCAACGAUUGAGGAGGCUUUUGCGAGCCCUGAGUGGCAGUCUGCUGCUCAAGCUGAGUAUGAUGCCCUGCUUCGUAAUGGUACCUGGGAACUGGUCCCUUUACCAUCGGGUCAUAAAGUUAUUGGUUGCAAAUGGUUAUUUAAAGUUAAGAAAAACCCAGAUGAGAACGGUAUAAAGCACGUCUGGUUGCGAAAGGCUGUUCUCAAGUUCCAGGUUGUGAUUUUCAAGAAACAUUUAGUCCAGUAGUAAAACCCGCCACUAUAAGGGUUAUAUUGUCAGUUGCAGUUACUAAAGGAUGGUUGCUUCGACAAGUUGAUGUUAACAAUGCCUUCUUGAAUGGGGAUGUUGAUAGUAAAGUGUUCAUGCAACAACCUCCUGGUUAUGUUAAGCUUGGGGUUGAUGGGAGACCCUUGGUUUGUCGGUUAAAGAAGGCUUUGUAUGGUUUGCGUCAGGCUCCAAGAGCUUGGUUUGAGAAGUUGAAAGCAUUUCUAUUGACGGUUGGAUUUGCUGGUUCAAAAUCAAAUGCGUCUUUGUUUGUGCGAGUUCAAUCUGACUGCACUAUCUAUGUUCUUGUGUAUGUUGAUGACAUAAUCAUAACUGGGGAUGUACCGUCAUCUAUUGACUGGUUUGUGACGCUGUUGAAUGUUGAAUUCUUGUUGAAAGAUAUGGGUGAUUUGCAUUAUUUUUUGGGAAUUGAGGUUACUCGGUCCUCUUCCAAGUGUCUUCACUUGUGUCAGAAAAAGUACAUCCGGGAUUUGUUGAAUCGUAGUGGUUUGUCUAAUGCUAAAAGUGUUCAUACGCCCAUGAUUAGUUCGUUACAUAUUUCUAAGAGUGACGGUGAUCCUCAAUCUGAUCCAACAGAGUACAGAAGUUUGGCUGGUGCAUUACAGUGUGUCGUCAUGACUAGGCCUGAUAUUGCAUAUGCAGUGAACAAGAUUUGUCAAUUCAUGCAUAGUCCGACCACAGUACAUAUGGCAGCUCUUAAGAGGAUAUUGCGAUAUUUGCCUGGUACUCUUGAUUUUGGAAUUGUUUUUCGUCAAUCUGAUUCUUUGUCCUUAGUUGGUUUUUCGGAUGCAAAUUGGGGGUUGGAUUUUGAUGACCGGCGGUCUACUUCGGGAUAUUGUGUAUUUUUUGGGUCCAAUCCUGUGUCAUGGUCCUCUAAGAAACAGAAAGUGAUGUCUCGGUCUACGGCCGAAGCUGAAUACCGAAGUCUGGCUGCCGUCACUAGUGAUAUUUUGUGGAUACGUUCGUUACUUCAAGAGUUACAUAUUGGGUUACCUACUCAGCCCAAUAUUUGGUGUGAUAGCUCCAGUGCAGUAGCUGUUGCUGCCAAUCCUGUGCUACACUCUAAGUUUAAACAUGUGGAGUUAGAUUUAUUCUUUGUUCGUGAGAAGGUUGCCGAUGGCUCUAUUUUGAUCGGGUAAGUUCCUCCGUCCAAUCAAGUUGCUGAUGUUUUAACUAAACCACUGUCUGUUUCGUAUUUUUCUCGGUUUAGAUCUUUUCUUCGGGUUGUUCCCGUAGAGAAGAUGGAUGCAUGUUAGUGAUAGUAUCUGUUAGAGAGGCAGUUAAGGUUAGCUGAGUUGUUAGCUAAGUAGUUAAGCAAGGAAGUUAUUUUCUUCCUAUAAAUAUAGUCAUUUGGCUUUGUAUUGAACUAAGUAAACAGAAAGAAUUAACUUCAAAACAGAUUUGUUCUACAUUCUUCUCUAUUUUACCUAGUUUCUUUCACUCAGCAUUUCUAAGCCAGUCCUUAACGUCAUCAUAGAUGAUCUCAGUUUGCCUUUUAGCCUUAUUGACAUGAGUGUCCACCCUCUGUUUCCUCAAUUUAAGUGCCAUUCGUUGAUUCUUGAAAUCUUCAACAAUCUCUCCAUAACGGAAAAAGUAACGGAGAUAGGGUGAUGCGUAUUCCUUUGCCUGGUCUGCCACAAUUUCGACAGCAGCAGGGGCAACAUAUUCGGCCAUUUUUGUUGAUAGUCUGAUGAGGUUGAACAAAAACAUUGGUUAUUAGUAAGAAGAUUAACAUAAAGAGAAAUAAAAGCAAUUGUGACAAAUAAAAUCAGUAUUUGUAGUAAAAAAUGGAGUGGAAGCUACCAAAUAAGCAGUAAAUAUUGAUGUAAACCAAAGAUGUUAUUAAUGAAGAAGGUAGAAAUUACCUCUCUUUCUGUCUGUGAAUACCAGAAAGUAAAUAGAGUUUGAGAGAAAUAAGUAGCUGUAAAAGAUGAAAAGAAUGGAUUUAGUGCAGGUAAUAGAAAAAUAAUAAUAAUAAAAUUGAGAGCAUGUUUUAACCUUCACACAAAAAAUAAAUAAUUAAUUAAUGUAAUGCAAAUAAUAUAACCAUACAUGCACACUCAAUCCUAAUUACUCUUCCCAUUAUAUUCAUUCUAAAUCGGAGCUAUAAUUUGUAUGUGAAAUACCAUCAUCUUCUUUCAAAAACAAUUUCUCAUAAAGAAAACCUAAAAAGAUUACAUUCUCUUAAACAUAUUUUAUAUUUAUUUCUACAUUUUCGAUUAUAGAUUGGAUGCUUUUAAGUUCCUAUCGAAUUAGAGUUUGUGUGCUCUCUAAAAUGUUUAAUGAAAAAAACGAGAAGACUAAUGAAUGGAGAAAGGACACUCUUCAUUUGCCCCUUUCGUGUUUGAUCCGCAUGUUAUAUACUUCAACUCUAAGUAAAAUCUAAUUCGAUUUAAAAAUUUUGAUUUAACUAGUUCGAGUUAUUUGAGUUAACUAAGUUAUUCGGAUAAACUCGAAUUGACUCGAAUAUGAAUUACACAAUUCGAGUUAUCCGAAAAAUCCGAAAAUCUAAAUUAGAAAAGGCAAAACUAUGUCGUUUUGAUAAAUAUGUACCUUUCUAAAGUUAAAAAUCAAAACCAUUAAGUUAAAAGGUAAAAUUACGUCAUUUUGAUAAAUAUUUACUCAUUAAAUUAAGAGGCAAAACCAUUAUAUUGUAUAUAUAGUUAAUAAUAUUGUACUUCGUCUGCUAGUUAAACAAUCGAUCCAUGUAAAUGCAACAUUGAAUAUAAAUAAUAGGAUUGGUUAACUCGACUCAAAUUGACUCGAAAUUUUUUACUCUAUUUGAUUUGGUUAAAAAAAAUAAAAUUGAAUUUGGUUGCUAAGAUAGAUUCAUCAACUCGACUAGCUCGAAAUUUUUCGAUUCGACUCAACUUAAUCAAAUACUCAUCCUAGUUCCAAUGUUCUUGUUCUAGUUUGUUCAAUCUUUAAAAUGAAUAUAUAAACUCUUUAAUUAAGACAGAAACUUGUAUGAAACCUUUUUUUUAUGAAAAAUAAAAUCACAAGUGAUUUAAAAUGACUCCAACCAAACUAAUAGAAAUUUGAGAAGGCCAAUAAAUAAAACGGAGAUCCACUCAACAAAAACAUGAAAAUAUAUAGCAAGGAAGAUGAGGAGCAGUUCCAUAAAACUUACCUUCACUGAACUAUCCUCUGCGCUGGUUCUUUUGCCAAGUGGAAAUCAAGGUAUGAAGAAAGUUUGGUUUUCAGAAAUAAAAGAAAGUUUGCAGAUUUUUUUUUUUUUUUGUUUUUUUCCCCUUAAUUGAGACAAUACAAGGAAAUGACCAGAAACACAGAUGUGAGAAUAUGGAAGCAAAAAAGGAAAUGACCAGAAACACAGGUUUGAGAAUUAGAAAGCAAAAAACAAAGAGUGGAAAUGAUGAGAAACAGAGGUUUGAGAACUUGGAAGCAAAAAACACAUUGGAUGAGAAACAGGUUUUUUUCCCUUAAGUGUUUUUAUGCACUUUUUAAUAUUUUGAAAUCUCAUAAGGCCAAAUUGGACCUCGAGAGCGACUAAUAGGCUAUUUCAGUGUGUAGGGUGUCAAUUCAAGCCCUAAAAUAUAAAGGACAACAGACUUCAUUAGGAAACUUUUGACUUAAAUUCCUAAUUUUUAUUAUAUAAUUUGACUUAAAUUCCUUUUUUUUUCGUUGAAAUAGACACACCCUAAUUUUCCCAAGUUGAUAUGAAUUAUAACUUGAUUUGCUUUAGAAUUUAUAUGAAUUCUAAUUUUUUUUUCUUGAAAUAGGCACUAUAGGCUCACUAUUAAUAUUUAAUUUAUUUUUACUUUUUUUUAAGUUAAGUCCUAAUUUAAUUAAAACACACUAUUUUCAAAUUAGACCUCUUAAUUAGAUUUCGUUUUAGAUUAAUACAAUAUGAAUUUUAAAUUGAUGUACCCAUAAAAAUAAAUAAAUUGAUCUCUCGGACAAAAAUUUAAAAGAAAUUAAAAUAAUUUAUAAAAAUCCAAAAAGGAGUAACCAUGGUUAAGCCAUGUAAUUAGAGCAGAACAAAUAUUUAGUUCACAGCAUGAAUAUGAAUUUGAGUUUAGUUUUCUUUACGCUCCUCAAAUAAUGGUGAGAAAUUACUACUUACCGAGAUUGUGGGUUUCUUCGGUACUUUUUAGGAAUUGUCAAUGAAGUCUUCACUAUUUUAUGAUGGAUAAUUAAUUAUGAAGACCAAAUUUAAGUGUUCACCUUUUUAUUAGUUUAAUGGUGGUUAAGCCAUGUGAGCAAGUAUUUCACUUUUCUUUGCGCUCCCCAAAGAAAUGAAGAAAAGAAAAGAGAAUAAAGAUUAUAGGUUUGUUCACCACAUUGGCUAGUGGGACAGGCAUUGCUGAAUGAAUUGAAGGAAAGAAUAAAGAUGAUGACAAGUCGUGAAACAAAGAUUGUCGGUUUCUUCACCACUUUGGCUUGAAGGACAGGCAUCGUACACAAAGAAUGAAUAAGGAAUAUGGUUUCUUCACCACUUUGGCUAGGCAUUGUUGAUGCUGUUUCUUUUUACUAUUUUUAAUUUAAGAAUGGAAGAAAAAGAUAUAUUUUCCUUACAAUGAUUAGAAUUAAAUAAACUAAAGCCAACCUUCAUUUCAUUAAAAUAAACUAAAGCCAACUUAAAUUAAAUAAACCGAUGUCAAGAUGUUUUAGUUUCAGGUUAAAUUUUAGUUUCAGUUUCAAAUCCUUCAUUCAUAAUAAGUACUCUUCUCUUUCAAUUGAUAAGUUUAUUAUAAUGAUUGAAGAUGUCUUAGACUACCAAUCUUUAUGUGUAAAUUAAUUGCGGGAUCGCCUAACAACUAACCUAUUCCAAAUGAACAACCACAAACACGAACACGUGUACACGAUUUAACUCUUCGAUAGCCUUGUGAACUAGAAGGGUUUGACUCGAAUCAAUAGCCUCGACUGCGUGGACUGUUUAAAUUCGAUUGCUAUUUCCCUUGACGAAUCCAACCACUCACUAAAUUGGACAAGCCAAUGUGUUAUUCAAUAAAUCGAAUACAACAAUCGAUCGUAUCGAUUCUUCCAACUAGAAGCCGCACAACAUCAGAUUAAUGAGUUCUUUUUGAUUUUAUGUCAAUAUGACUUAUGAAACGACGGAAUUUAUCUCUUUAAUCGGAAAAAUAACAAAUACCAAUAUGAAAAAUUUAGAUACGAUUUUAGAUCUUGUGACUCUCUCCUGAAUUGACUAAUCGCCUAAAGCCAGAUCAAGCAAAUUGAUAAAAAUAAAGAACGAGAAAAGAAAAUAAUCCAGGGGAAAAACUUUAUUGAAAUUAAAAAUAAAAGGACAAAGGUUUAACAAAGUUCAUAUGAAUAGUUGACUAAACAUAUUGUUGGAUUACUUAAAGUUACACCUUUCUAUAUUUAAUUUCCACACACUUCAUGCAAGAAAAGAGCACUCAAGAUACAUAAAAUUUAUUAUUUUAUUAUUUUAUUUAAAAUCUUCAAUGGCUUUGCCAUCUAAAUAUUUUUCUUUUAUCACAGUAUUUAAAUUUAUUUUUGGUGAUAAGUGAUACAUAAAAUUUUUUCCCUAAAAUUAUCUCUAAUUUAAAAGUUAGACAUUAGAAAUUAAAUUCUGAAUAUCUUUAAUGCCAAUUAAAUGAUCAACCUUAUUAUAAUAAUUAGACUUGUCACUCAAACAUGAAUGUUUUUAUUCGUAUCAUUUUCAACCUUUGUUAGUCAAACAAUCAAUCGAACUAUUACAUCUAUUUUUUUAAAUGGUACCUAGACUCUGUCAUUUUUCUCAUUUUGGUAUCAUUUUUUGGUCACAAGUGCUACCUAAACUACUUUUUCCCCAAAUCAAUACUUUUGUUGCUAGACAAACUGUUAAGUCUAUUUUUUUAAAAAAAUAUAACCAAUUAAAAAUUAUCAUUUUACAAAAAAAGAUAAAAGAUAUUUUUUAUUUAUAUAAUUUAAAAAAUAUUAAAUUUUCAUAAAAAUUUAAAAAUUAAAAAUAGAGAGAUUUGGUUCAACUAGGUUUUUACCUUCAUUCAACUGAUUCGUAUUGAUUCGCGGGUAAACCAGUUUAACUCUUAUCUCUGAAUUGAUUUAAGUUUGAAGACAAAAUUAAUUGUGUACUACUUGAUACUUAUGUGUAACUCUAAUUUUUCUUGGUAAUUCAGUGUGGACAAAUGUAGUGAAGUGUUUAUGAUAUAACUCUAGAAACGUAUAUAAGCCCCCAAUUGAAACAGAGAAUUGAGGUCUGCUUAAGAAAAUUGGGUUAUUGUUGGGGGGUGGUGUUAUGGUGUAUUAGAGUUUUAGGGGUUUUGAUUGUAAGAGCUGCUUGUGAAUGUGCUAUUUGGUGUUUCAGUAUGACCUCCGAUUUUGAAUCAUUAAUCCUUUGGUUGGUUUUCCUUUUUGGGGGAUUAAUCAUCUUUUACAUCGGCUUUUAUUAAUAUAUAUAUAUACAUACUAGUUUAAAUAUCACAUGUGGCAUAUGUGAUUAUUAUGAGAUUUCAAUAUAAUAAAUUAAUUUAAUAGUUUGCAUACAAAUAUUUAAAAAAAAAGAAUUUAAGAAAAUUUUUGAAGUUGAAUUCAAUAUAUAUAUAAAUAUAAAAAUAAUUAAUUUAAUAAAAUUUUAAAAUUAGAUUCAAAAUAAAAAUACAUAAAAUAAUAAUAAAAUUUAUAUCAAAUUCCUGAAAAUUAAAAACUAUUUACUUUUAUUUUUUUAAAUACAUAAAAUACCAAACAAUUGAAAAUCAAAAAAAUAAAAAGCUAUGGAAAGCUAUAUAAAAUUCUCAAAAAUAAAAAAAAUACUUCUCUUCUACAAAUAUAGAUAAAAAUACCAAAAAAAAAAAAGAGGCAUGAUCCACACGGCCACAGUCUGUCACACGAUAGUGUAACCCCUUCGCAUGGCUGAAGGCAUUGCACACAGCCAUGUGCCCCUAUUUUAAAUUUUUACCUAAAAUUUUAUGAUUUGUUCAGAUUAGUCCCUGAACAAUUUUUGAACUAUUUUUUUAGUGUUUUAUUUUUAUUCAAUUAAGUCCCUAAUAAUAUGGAAAAUGUUAGAAUCCAUGACAUGAUUGACUAAAUUAAUGUUAUAUAUAAUUGUCUGGAUUGUGAAUGAUAUAUAUGUUUAUUAUAUAAACAGAGCCAUGUACAGAGCCAUGUUGUGCUCUAUCUAUAAGUAUAAACAGACAAUCAAAAUAAAUUUCACUUCUUCUUGAAUGAUUUGAUUACAUAGAGAGUGACAUUCUUUAGAUCUUAUGCAUGUUUUGAUUUAUAUAUAAGAAUGGAUGCGAUAUUAUAUAUUUGUUAUAAAUUGUUUUUUAUUGUCAAGGUUGUGGUUCUUAGGAAAUAGACCGUGGAAUAUCAUCUCCAUGUAGGGCUAUUUUUUUAAAAUUCAUAGAAUUCUUGUUAAUAAAAAACGGACAUAAGACUUAAAUCACUACAAGAAAUUAAGCUUUUAACAGCAUUUUUAGUGGCGUUUAGACCAAAAAUGCUGCAAAAGUUAUACAUUAGUGGCACUAAUUGAAAAACGCCACAAAAGGUUAGAGCUAUAGCGGCGUUUAUGAGAAAAACGCCACAAAAAGUCCAGCAUUAGCGGUGUUUUAAAAAUCAUUUUAUUUUAAACAAAACAGCUCCGUUUUGCUCCGUGUAUUCUCACCCAUCAUCCAAGUGGCCAUCAUGUAUUGUUUUCGACAACUCAUGCACUCUUUCAUCCUCUUCUAUUUAUUAUGUAACUAGUUUCUUUAUAUUAAUUAAAAUACAAUUUAUUUUUAAUUUAAUAUUAAAAAUCUUCAGAAAAAUCAAUGACACGUAAAAAACAUUUGAAAGUAAAAACAUAGAAAAUAUAUGUUAAAAAUGAAAAAAAUUAAAAUACUAUUAAUAAAAAUAAUUUUAUCUGCUAUAACAAACUGAUUUCUAACCAGAAGAUUUUGAUUGGGGAUUCUAGUUAACAGAGAGGCUUGACUCCUCCUUUUGUAGAUGAUGACCUAAUUGAGAUAGUUGGAUUUAGAAAUGUCCUGCAUGGUCUUGUUUUGCUUGCUCCAGAUGGACAUGGGACUCAUUUAGCACAGGUAGAACAAGAAGGUUCAUGACUGGUUUGCACUCUUUAACCUCAGGGAUUUUGAAAUUUUGGAGAUUAGACUGUAUUUGGGAAUUUGAAGAAAUAGCGAAAAUUGUAGCUCCUAACUAGAUUAGGUUCAUUGAUUAUGAAUGUUGUUGUAAUGCAGAUGAAUGGAAUGAAUGCAAAAAGAGGCGUUGAUUCUGAUUCAAUUCAAUUAGAACAACUUUACUAGAAUAAAUUGAAUAAAUUGAAUUAAAUUGAAUCAGACCCUUUGUUUUGAAGAAGUGAAAUGCAAUACCCAGUGAGUUAGGAUACAACAUUUCUAAUUCUCGAAAUUAAACUUGUCUUCUGACUUUAAAAACUCAUGAUUUUAGGUUUGAGAAGGAUACUCGGUUAUUUAGGUUAAAUAAAAAAUUGGAACCCAGUGAGUUAGGGUUCAAUUUCUCAAAAUUCCCAAAUACAAAAUAUUACCUGCUUUUUUGAAAUCCUUACCUCAAGGUAACAAAAUGUCACAUCCCGUGAGUUAGGAUACAACCCUUUUGGAAUUCCCGAGAUAAAUUUUGGUUUUUGAAAUUGGUACGAUUUUAUUGAAAAAGGAUACUCGGCUAUUUAAAUUCAAUAAAAAAAUUGAAGCCCAGUAAGUUAGGGCACAAUCUUCUCGAGAGUCUUGGACCCCGAGUAUCUUGAAAAUUUCGAAAUAAAACUACCUUAAUGUUUUAAUGAAGCGUAAUCUUCAAAACAAAUGUAGUGCGAUUGAAUGGUAACGCAUAAUACGAAAGGAUAAUUUGUAAAUAAAACAUACACCAAGGAAUGAUGAAUAAAUAAUAAAAAAAUUCAAGAAGCUUAGCAAUGAUUAUCUCAUGCGAACACCAACAUUAGCUAAUAGGAGGAAACUAAUUUAAAAUUGAGCAAAUUUACAUAAACACCAAUAAAGUGUACAAGUUUAAACACCAUUUAAGAAACAAAUGACAUGAAAGAAGGUAAACUGAAAUUCGAAAUAGAUUUUACAUGAAAUUGUAAUACGCAAAUGAAUUCUAAAGUAAAUAUGGUAUAAGUAGAAAAUUAAAAUUUAUAAUAUAUAAAACAAUACACAUAUUAAUUUAAAUAAAUAAUACAUAUUAAAUGAAGAGUUUGAUAAUAAUAAAAACAAUAAUAUAUGUACAUAAUAAUAAUACAAUAUGGUUGAAAUAUACAAAAUAAGUAAAGGAAGUUUAAAAUAAAUAAAUUAUAAAUGUAACUUAACUUUAAACCUAUAAACUUAUUUAAAAGAAAGCCAAAAGAUGAUAAUUAUAAUAAGGGUAAACUAUUAAAAUAGUCACUUUUGUUUGGUUCAGGUUACAUUUUAGUCAUUUAUGUUUGAAAUGUUACGUUUUAGUCACUUAUGUUAUCAUGUUGUAACAUUUUAGUCACUGAGCCGUUAAUUUCUGUUAAUUGUGUAACAAUAAGCUGAUGUGGCACAUUACAUCAUCAUUUCAAACAAAAAUUCUAGGUUAAUUUAUACAAUCGGUCCCCAUAUUUUUUCGUUUGGAGAAAUUUAAUUUUUUUCUUUUAUUUUUUUUAACUUUCUUUCUUUUCCAUUCUCUUAUGCUUCUCCCUUUGUUUUCCUCCUUUCUCCAUUUCUUUCGACGUAGUUUUGCUAUGUUUUAUUUUUUUGAAAAAUUUAAUUUUUUCGAGUGAGGCGAGCUUGUGGACUAGUUACAAAUGGAAAACAUAGAAAAACUAUGUUAAAAGAAAUGAAGAAGGGAGGAAAAUAGAGGUAGAAGCAAAAGAGAAUGGAAAAAAAUUUUAAAAGAACUUAAAAGAAAAUUUUAAAAUUGUUUAAAAUGAAAAAAUAUAGGGACCAAUUGUAGAAUUUAACCUAAAAUUUUUGUUUGAAAUGAUGAUUUAACAUGCCACAUCAGCUUACCGUUACACCAUUGUUGGCAAUUAACGACUCAGUGACUAAAAUGUUACAACACGAUAACGUAAGUGACUAAAAAGUAAUAUUCCAAACAUAAGUGACUAAAAUGUAACCUAGGGCAAACAAAAGUAACUAUUUUGGUAGUUUGCCCUUAUAAUAAUAGGAAAACAAUAAUAUGUUCAUGAAAUAAAAAAAAAAAUCAAAAGUGCAUGUAUAUGAUAGUAUGGUAUGAAAGUAUUAUUAUAACUUUUGGAAUAUAGGAAUAUAAAAGAGAAUUUAAAAAAAUAAAUAAAAGAUUAAAAAAACUAUAUCAAAAGAAUAUACGAAUCAUAAAAUAUGUUAAAUCUAAGUAAUAAUAAACGAAAACUUAAAAUUGUAAUAUAUGAUAAAUAAAAAACAACUACAAAGAUAAAUAUAAACAAUGUUAAUGAUUUUGGUGAUAAAUUCAAAUAAUAUCACUAAUCUUAAAGCAUAUGGAAAUAUUAGAUUUAAAACUAAAUAUAUAGAAAACAAUAUGCAUUUAAUCCAAUAAAAAAAAUAAGAUUAAAUUGGAUUUGAAACCAAAUUAAAGAGAAAAUUCGCAAAUAAAAUAAAAUCGAGGGGACAAAAUGCAGUGUGCUAAUAAUAUGGGGGACCAAUGGGGAAAUAACCCCUGUCCCUCCAAAACGCGACGUACAGCCUGGGCCAAAAUGAAACAAAAGCAAAAUGCAGUAUGGAAUUUACAAAUAAAGAAAAACUGAUUCGAAAUCACUAUGAAAGAGGGAGGACCAAAUUCGAAAAUAACUCUAGCAGGGCCACAACACGCGGAUCUCAGCCGCCUCUGGGUCGGGUCAGUCGGGUAUGGCCUUAUACGAUGCCGUUUUGGGGCCACUGAAGCAGGUCUCAAACGAUGUCGUUUUUAUUACUUUAUAAAAUCCCAAACCAAAACCUAAUCAGAAUUAUUUUUUCACUUCUAAGGAAAAUAAAACCAAACCCUAGGCUAUCCUCUCUCUGCCGUUCCCAGCCGAAACAACAGCCCCUUCAACUCUGAUAUUAACAGAGCAGACAAAGGCCGACGGCGGACUAGUAGAGGUAAAUCUUCUCUCCUCCUUCCUUUCGUUUUAUAUUUUAAUAAAAAGAUGAUAAAACCAAGAGCAAAAAAAAAAGAUAGAAUUUGAAAAAUCAUCUUGAAAUAACAAAGCUAGUUGAUUUGUUUUUUAUAUUUUCGUAUCCAGUAUCCGUUUUACAAAUUUGCUAUUUUCUCUUAUUAUUUUUCUAUUAUUCUGUUAUUUCUUUGCAAGGAUGCAGCCAAUCUGGAGGCAGAGGCUCACGUGGGGAAGGAGCGGCGCGCUGGAGGCUUGUAGGCUAGGGUUUCUGCAGGCUUAGUUUGUUUACAGGGCUAGGUUUAACUAGGUUUACUUUAUUGGGCUCGGGGUUAAUUUGAGUUUUAGAUUUAGUGUUUUGGGUUAGAGUCUAUAUUAGGUAGUGAGUUUGGGCUUUAAAUUUGGGUUUGUAAAAAUAAAUUGGGUUGUUUUAUUAUUUUAUAUUGGACCGGGCAAUAUUAGGUCAUUACAUAAAUAUUGAUAAAAUUAUAUCGUAUCGAUAUUAUCGAUAAAAUUAUUGAAGAUAUUACCUUUGUACUGUUUUGAUUUUUGUGCCCGAGAUGCAAUCUUUCUCCUUGUUUAGAGCCCAUGUUUGUAAGGCGUGCCAAAAGUUGAACUUUGAAUUAAAAACAUAAUAUUUAAAUUCUAAAUUUCAAUUUAUUAAUUUUUAUAUUUAGUUUUAAAGUUAAAAUUUUAAUAGAAAAUUUAAUUUAAUUAAUAUUUUUUAUUUAGUAUAUAGUUUAAAGUUUAAAUUUUAAAAAUAAAACAAAAUAAAAUAUUUUAUCAUAGAAAUAAAUAUUAUUUAAUUAAAUUUUUUUUAAAGGUCAUGUUUUUUAGUUACGUUUGUCGGAAAAGCAUCGCUACAUGUCAUGUUUUAUAGCGACGUUUGUGGGAAAACGCCGGUAAAGGUCAUGUUCUAUCAUACACAAAUUAUAUCAGACAAUUAACUAAAAACAUCUGAGCAACAUUGCUCCACCUACUGAUGUAACAUGGCUCUGAAAGCUACCCUAAAAUCAUCCAUUCUUUCAUGUAAUGUGUGGUAGUUGACUCUCAUCGCCACCAUCGGCUCCAAUCUAUAUUCUCGUUGAAAAUUGCAUUUUGAACAGUGGUAGAUUCUUCAACCGCAUCUUGCUCAACCAUCUGAGGUGCCUUAGAAAACAAUUGAAGAAAAAUUUAUAACUGAAACUUUAAUCUCAUGUCAUCAAGGAAAAAAAAUAAGAAACACAUAUAUACUCAAGGAAUUUAAUUAAAAAUUUUGCAUGUUAUGCCUUCAGUUGUAAUUGUUAUAAUUACAUAGAAUAAAGUACGAUUAAAGGGUUGUAGGAUAUAUACCUUUGUUUUGCAAUGUACAAAUUCUUGUGAAUCAAUGAAGAAACCAAUAGUCAACCUAGGGCAAUCUUUUACUUUCAACUUUAUCAUUGCUGGGAAUACAGAAUGAUAUCCUUUGGGAGAAAAGUGAAUGAGGCCAGGUAGUUCUACAAGUGAUAACCAUUUUAAUUUAUCAAAUUUCAUCUCCUCUUUAGCUACCACUUCCACUUUUUCUUCUAAUUCGAAUACUUGCUCCAAUUUAUAAUUCCUUUUAACUAUGAGACUUUCAAGCUUUGGAAGAACAGGAGCAAAUCUAAAAGGAAAGAGACUGUUCAAAUUUUUACAAUUUGUGACAACGAUCUGAGUCAAAUUUGGAAAGCUCAUAGGUUGGAGGCUAGUAUCACCAUUUGAUGAUGAUGAAGAAACUUGAUCCUUGGCUAAAAUGAGUCGUUCUAUUUCCUCACACCUCUCGAUGAAAAGAUCCUCCAAAUGUGAU
This 28850-nucleotide long non-coding RNA is filed under the name Gossypium barbadense (sea-island cotton). Its description in RNAcentral is "long non-coding RNA (GBAR_LNC023089)". Lineage: Eukaryota; Viridiplantae; Streptophyta; Magnoliopsida; Malvales; Malvaceae. The record is from RNAcentral.